This 632-nucleotide ribosomal RNA is filed under the name uncultured Streptococcus sp. RNAcentral describes it as "bacterial SSU rRNA". The stretch from base 12 to 380 matches the Rfam family "Bacterial small subunit ribosomal RNA", at positions 39 to 400 of the family's 1533-position model. Lineage: Bacteria; Bacillati; Bacillota; Bacilli; Lactobacillales; Streptococcaceae. The record is from RNAcentral.
GACGAACGCUGGCGGCGUGCCUAAUACAUGCAAGUAGAACGCUGAAGGAGGAGCUUGCUUCUCUGGAUGAGUUGCGAACGGGUGAGUAACGCGUAGGUAACCUGCCUGGUAGCGGGGGAUAACUAUUGGAAACGAUAGCUUAUACCGCAUAAUAGUAGAUGUUGCAUGACAUUUGCUUGAAAGGUGCAACUGCAUCACUACCAGAUGGACCUGCGUUGUAUUAGCUAGUUGGGUGGGGUAACGGCUCACCAAGGCGACGAUACAUAGCCGAGCUGAGAGGGUGAUCGGUCACUCGGGGACUGAGACACGGCCCAAAUUCCGACGGGUGGCUGCAGUUGUGGAAUCUACAGUAUGGAUGUGAGUUUUACCGAUUACGCUGCGGGAGUUUGGAAUGUUGUCGUAUCUUAAUUUUUUUGUAGAUGAAUAAUGAUUGGUGAGAUUGGAAAGGUGCCAUUUGGGUCGGUUUUGUGUGUGUAUUGUUGUGGUUUGUGUGUGUGUUUUUGGCUGGUUGUUGUUUGUGUUUUUUUGUUUUUAUGUGUUUGUUUUGUUGUUUUUGUUUUUGUUGAAAUUUUGUUAGUGUGAGAUGGUUAUGGGGUGAGUGUGUUGUAUGUGUUGUGUUUGCAACUUUGUCU